CGACCGGCGCACGGGUGAGUAACACGUAUGCAACCUGGCCGUCACAGGUGGAUAAACCGGAAGAAAUUCCGACUAAUACAGCAUAACACUCCUGAGGGACAUCCCUUGGGAGUCAAAGGAGGCAACUCCGGUGACGGAUGGGCAUGCGGCGCAUUAGGUAGUUGGUAGGGUAACGGCCUACCAAGCCGACGAUGCGUAGGGGUUCUGAGAGGAAGGUCCCCCACAUUGGAACUGAGACACGGUCCAAACUCCUACGGGAGGCAGCAG
Molecule: ribosomal RNA, 267 nt
Filed under: uncultured bacterium
Lineage: Bacteria
Description: partial 16S ribosomal RNA
Rfam family: Bacterial small subunit ribosomal RNA
Source: RNAcentral